AGUGUCACUGCCCUUCCCACUGUUCUCCUGCAGAAGAGCAGGGGAAGGAAGCACCAGGGUCCAUCACGGAGUUGUGACAACUGAGAUUCAGAGAUGUCCAAUCUACUCACACAAAUAGCCUGGUUGAAGAUGGCCGCGUGUAAACCAGAAUGCAAGUCAGCUGGGGCACGUACUACUGGAGGCAGAGCCCCAUGAGAAGGGGCCAAGAACCCGCACCCAUCAAAAUCAAGAAGAAAGGCUGAACCCGGAGAGAAAAGGGAGCAACUGAUGUUGCCAUGCAGAUCCCUUGGUUGCUAUGAGAUGGUAACAUCACUCUGCCCCACCAUUGGCCAGUGCCUCCUCAGCUGCGGUGCCUCCCAGGCUGUGUGGUUCUCACGCGGGCCGCUGACACAGAGCUGUUACUAUGGUGAACUUUACAAUUUCCUUUGAUUGGUGGAUUUCAGAAAUAGGCCAUCAGCGGAAUUCAUUAUAUUCAGCUAAGUCAAAAUGAAAAAUAAA
This 498-nucleotide non-coding RNA is filed under the name Pongo abelii (Sumatran orangutan). Lineage: Eukaryota; Metazoa; Chordata; Mammalia; Primates; Hominidae. The record is from RNAcentral.